RNAcentral lists this ribosomal RNA (485 nucleotides) under uncultured bacterium. RNAcentral describes it as "partial 16S ribosomal RNA". It matches the Rfam family "Bacterial small subunit ribosomal RNA", at positions 30 to 507 of the family's 1533-position model. The record is from RNAcentral.
AUUGAACGCUGGCGGCAGGCUUAACACAUGCAAGUCGAGCGGGGAAAGGUAGCUUGCUAGCUGACCUAGAGGCGGACGGGUGAGUAAUGCUUAUGAAUCUGCCGAUUAGUGGGUUACAACAUCUCGAAAGGGAUGCUAAUAACGCAGACGUCCUACGGGAGAAAGCAGGGGACCUUUGGGCCUUUCGCUCAGAGGUGAGUCUACGUCGGAUUAGGUAGUUGGUGGGGUAAAGGACUACCAAGGCGACGAUCUGUAGCUCGUCUGCGAGGAUGAUCCGCCAGACUGGGACUGUGACACGGCCCAGUGGCCUUCGGGAGGCACCAGUGGGGAAUAUGGGACAAUCGGGGGAACCCUGAUCCAGCCAGGCCGCGUGUGUAAAGAAGGCCGUUUGGUUGUAAAUCACUUUAAGCGAGGAGGAGACUACCGAGAUUAAUACUCUUGGAUAGUUGACGUUACUCGCAGAAUAAGCACCGGCUAACUCUGUG